This 1489-nucleotide ribosomal RNA is filed under the name uncultured marine bacterium. Its description in RNAcentral is "16S ribosomal RNA". It matches the Rfam family "Bacterial small subunit ribosomal RNA". The record is from RNAcentral.
GAGUUUGAUCAUGGCUCAGAUUGAACGCUGGCGGCAGGCUUAACACAUGCAAGUCGAGCGGAAACGAUGGGAGCUUGCUCCCAGGCGUCGAGCGGCGGACGGGUGAGUAACGCGUAGGAAUCUACCCAGUAGUGGGGGAUAGCCCGGGGAAACUCGGAUUAAUACCGCAUACGCCCUACGGGGGAAAGGCCGGGAUCUUCGGACCGGUCGCUAUUGGAUGAGCCUGCGUUGGAUUAGCUAGUUGGUAGGGUAAAGGCCUACCAAGGCGACGAUCCAUAGCUGGUCUGAGAGGAUGAUCAGCCACACUGGAACUGAGACACGGUCCAGACUCCUACGGGAGGCAGCAGUGGGGAAUAUUGGACAAUGGGCGCAAGCCUGAUCCAGCCAUGCCGCGUGUGUGAAGAAGGCUCUAGGGUUGUAAAGCACUUUCAGUAGGGAGGAAGGCCAGAGUGUUAAUAGCGCUUUGGAUUGACGUUACCUACAGAAGCAGCACCGGCUAACUCCGUGCCAGCAGCCGCGGUAAUACGAAGGGACCUAGCGUAGUUCGGAAUUACUGGGCUUAAAGAGUUCGUAGGUGGUUGAAAAAGUUAGUGGUGAAAUCCCAGAGCUUAACUCUGGAACUGCCAUUAAAACUUUUCAGCUAGAGUAUGAUAGAGGAAAGCAGAAUUUCUAGUGUAGAGGUGAAAUUCGUAGAUAUUAGAAAGAAUACCAAUUGCGAAGGCAGCUUUCUGGAUCAUUACUGACACUGAGGAACGAAAGCAUGGGUAGCGAAGAGGAUUAGAUACCCUCGUAGUCCAUGCCGUAAACGAUGUGUGUUAGACGUUGGAAAUUUAUUUUCAGUGUCGCAGGGAAACCGAUAAACACACCGCCUGGGGAGUACGACCGCAAGGUUAAAACUCAAAUGAAUUGACAGGGACCCGCACAAGUAGUGGAGCAUGUGGUUUAAUUCGAAGAUACGCGCAGAACCUUACCAACACUUGACAUGUUCGUCGCGACUCUAAGAGAUUAGAGUUUUCGGUUCGGCCGGACGAAACACAGGUGCUGCAUGGCUGUCGUCAGCUCGUGUCGUGAGAUGUUGGGUUAAGUCCCGCAACGAGCGCAACCCUCACUUUUAGUUGCCAUCAUUAAGUUGGGCACUCUGAAAGAACUGCCAGUGAUAAGCUGGAGGAAGGUGGGGAUGACGUCAAGUCCUCAUGGCCCUUACGUGUUGGGCUACACACGUGCUACAAUGGCAUCUACAACAGGAAGCAAAACGGCAACGUUAAGCAAAUCCCGAAAAGAUGCCUCAGUUCGGAUUGCACUCUGCAACUCGAGUGCAUGAAGCUGGAAUUACUAGUAAUCGUGGAUCAGCGUGCCACGGUGAAUGCGUUCCCGGGUCUUGUACACACCGCCCGUCACACCAUGGGAGUUGGUUCUACCUUAAGGCAAGGUUUCAAACCCUUGACCACGGUAUAGUCAGCGACUGGGGUGAAGUCGUAACAAGGUAACC